UAUCUGGCCGGGUCACUUGCCCAGCAGCUGCAGCUGCACGGCACGGCUCUACAGUAGAGCUGCGCGGCCACGCAUCCAACUUCUGCCGCCGCGGCGAUUUCUUGUUAUACUUGGCCAAACGGGCGGCCCAGCUCUGGCACUAUACGGCACUAUGCGGCACUAUGUCUAUCGUGCCGUGCCGUCUCGGGCCAUCGUGCCAAACUCUCGGCCCAGACACGGCACUAUGGCUCUUUAACCGUGCCGAUAGGCACGGUGGUCCAUCGUGCCCGUGCCGGCCCAUGGCUUUGGGAGAAGUCGAGAAGCUCACUGCGCCCUGCCUCAUGGAGAAGACGAGCGCCACCCCUGUCGUAUAGUCAGGCGGGAGAAAGAGUGUGGCCUCAGCAAGGAUGCGUCUACGUCGCCGACUAGGGAGUUAGGGUUUGAAAGGGUUGUGUGAUGCUUAUAUACAUGACUCAGAAUACAUUCAAUGGUCAUGAUCUAUCCUCAAAGCAUCAGACGAUGGAAAUAA
Molecule: long non-coding RNA, 508 nt
Organism: Sorghum bicolor (sorghum)
Lineage: Eukaryota; Viridiplantae; Streptophyta; Magnoliopsida; Poales; Poaceae
Exons: 2
Source: RefSeq, a predicted model, not a curated record